RNA transcript from Gadus chalcogrammus (walleye pollock), 6102 nucleotides. It is a transcript of the gene named E3 SUMO-protein ligase ZBED1-like, with no coding region annotated. The record is from RefSeq and is a predicted model, not a curated record. The transcript is spliced from 2 exons. Lineage: Eukaryota; Metazoa; Chordata; Actinopteri; Gadiformes; Gadidae.
UGAUACAAAAACACUACAAGCAUACACUCUGUUUCUAAGAGGAUGUUGCAAUGCCAUGGAAGAUGUCAACAACAUGCAAGAGCUCAACAUGUCUGCUAACCUGCUAAUUAUAAUUAAGAAGCUGCCAUAUCGACUGAGGGAUAAAUGGAGAUCUGUGGCAUGUGAUUUUCAGGAAAGGUACAACCAAAGAGCUACCUUCAGGGAUCUGGUAAAUUACCUUGAAAAACAGGUGAGGAUUGCAACUGAUCCAGUAUUUGGAGACAUCAGAGACACUCCCACACCAAGCAAGGAUGGAAGAGGUUUUAUGUCAAAACCACCUCAUCCAAAAAUCAAAGGAAGUACAUUUGCAACCACUGUGACAGUUGCACAUGAGAAAAAUAGAAAUGGACCUAGGAAAAUGGAGAGUUGGCCGGCUGUAAAAAGGUGUUUGUUCUGUGGAGGUGGACAUGCUUUGGAGGUGUGUUUCCUAUUGGAAAAGAAAGCACAUCAUGAGAAAAUCACUUUCCUUAAAGAAAAUGGAGCCUGCUUUGGUUGUCUGCAGAAAGGACACAUGAGCAAGGACUGCAGGAAGCGACUCAGCUGCAACAUAUGCAAUUUGAAGCAUCCUCAGAUGCUGCAUAUCCACCAAAGAAGAUUUGAAAUGAGCAAACAUCAAGCUCAAACAAAGGAAGAAGCUGACAUCAGAGCCAUAGCCUCGGUACAGACAAGUGGUCUUACUGGGGCCGGUGAAGACAAUUGCAAACUCUCCAUAGUGCCUGUGAAAGUAAAGGCCAAGAAGGGGAAUACAAUAGUGCAUACAUAUGCAUUCCUUGACCCGGGAAGCACUGCGUCAUUUUGCACAUUGGGGCUAAUGAAUAAGCUCAAUCUCCAGGGAAGAAAAUCAAAUAUUCUUCUGAGAACAAUGGGUCAAAGGAAGGUCGUUGAAACCAGCAUUGUUUCAGGCCUAGAGGUUACAGUACUUCAUGGCACUGAUUUCUGUGAUCUCCCAUGUGUGUACACUCAGAAGACUAUGCCUGUGCACAAAGGGAACAUCCCACAUCAAAAUGACAUCAAUCAGUGGCAUCAUUUAAAGAAUAUUCACUUACCUGAACUGGACUGUGAGAUUGAGUUGCUGAUUGGCUCUGAUGUACCAAAGGCUCUGGAACCACUUCAAGUCAUCAGGAGUGUGGGAGAUGGACCAUAUGCCGUCAAAACAAUGCUCGGCUGGACAGUUAACGGACCUCUGGGAGGAAAAGGUGAUUAUGCUCAGGAGCAGUCAGAAAUCAUUAACAGGAUAUCAGUUGUUACACUUGAUGAGCAAUGGGAGCAGCAGUUCAAGAUUGACUUUCCUGAGUGUGUCAAAGAUGACCAAGAACCUUCAAAAGAAGAUCAGCAGUUCUUGGAUUUGGUAUCAACAUCUGCAAAGCUAGUUAAUGGACAUUACGGCUUUGGUUUACCAUUGAAGGACAGGGAAAUCUGCUUGCCUGACAAUAAGAACUGCGCUGAGCAGAGGACACUAAACUUAAAAAGGCGUUUCCAGAGAGAUCCAUGCUAUCACUUGGAGUACACCAACUUCAUGUCUGACAUGAUAUCCAAGGGCUAUGCAGAGAAAGUACCAGAAGGAAUCUUGGAACGUAGUGAUUGCAGAAAAUGGUAUCUACCACACCAUGGAGUUUUGCAUCCACAAAAGAAAAAACUUAGAGUGGUGUUCGACUGUGGAGCAACAUAUCAGGGAGUUUCACUGAACUCUCAGCUCUUACAGGGACCAGACCUCACCAGCACCUUGAUUGGAGUCAUAGCUAGAUUCCGUAAAGAACUUGUUGUCAUCGCUGCGGAUAUCGAAGCAAUGUUCCUCCAAGUACAAGUACCAAAUGAAGAUCGGGACCUGCUACGGUUCGUCUGGUGGCCUGAUGGAGAUUACAGUCAGAACAUGGUGGAAUACAGAAUGACGGUGCAUUUAUUUGAAGCAACAUCAUCUCCAAGUUGUGCAAAUUUUGCCCUGAGAAAAUGUGCUGAAGACAACACUGGCCAGUUCAGCCCACAAGCUAUCAACACCAUCUUGAACAACUUUUAUGUGGAUGACUGCCUCGCUUCAGCAGCUUCAGAAGAGGACGCAAUAGCUCUUUAUCACGAGUUAAGAGCCAUUUGCUUCAAGGGAGGCUUUGUACUCACCAAGUGGAUAAGCAAUAGUCGUCAUGUAUUGGCUGCCAUACCUGAAACGGAAAGAGCAAAAGAAAUGAAGGAUCUGGAAUUGGACCAUGACAAACUACCUGUUGAGAGGAUGUUAGGUGUACAAUGGUGUGUUCAGUCUGACGUCUUCAAGUUCAAAAUCAUCCUCAAAGACAGACCACUCACAAGACGGGGGAUUUUGUCGACUGUCAGUUCUGUAUAUGAUCCCCUUGGAAUGUUGGCACCAGUAGUCCUGACUGCAAAAAGGAUCCUACAGGAAUUGUGUCGGGAAAAGACUGGUUGGGAUGAUGUGAUACCAGACUCUAGUGUGAAAGAAUGGAUGAGCUGGAUUCAGGAACUCCAUAACCUGGAAGACUUCAAAGUCAACAGAUGCUUCAAACCUACAAACUUCGGAGCGAUAACAUCUGCCCAGCUACACCAUUUUGCUGAUGCAUGUCAGGAUGGUUAUGGAACUGUGAGUUAUUUGUUAAUGCAUAACAACCAUGGCCAAACGCAUUGUGCAUUUGUGAUGGGAAAGGCCAGAGUGGCUCCUUUGAAGCCAGUCACUAUCCCUCGCAUGGAGUUGACUGCUGCUACCAUGGCGAGCAGAAUGGACACAAUAUUGAGGAAAGAGCUGCAGAUGGAACUAGCAGAAUCUACAUUUUGGACUGAUAGCACCUCUGUGCUCAAGUACAUAAAGAACAGGACCACACGAUUUCGAACAUUCGUGGCUAACAGAGUGACUGAAAUUGCCAAAGCCUCAGAUGAACAUCAGUGGAGGUACGUCAACACAAAUGACAAUCCAGCAGACAUGGCUUCCAGAGGUCUGAAAAUCAAAGCUUUCCUAAAGAAGAAAAUGUGGGUGUACGGACCUCCGUUUCUUCAUGGUCCUCAGGAAGAGUGGCCUCAGAACCCUGAUGGAUUGGAUGCAAUUUCACCGAAGGACUCUGAAGUCAAGAGCAUAACCGUAAAUGCUGCUCAAAUAAGACCUGAAGCAGUGGAUCCAACAACCAACUUCAUCCAUUACUUCUCAUCCUGGAAUCAGUUGAAAAGGGCAGUAGCAUGGAUGCUCAGAAUCAAAGGAGUGCUUCUGCAACGAAUCAGGAAGAGGAAAACAGCAAGCGGUGUUCUCUCUUUGCAAGGAAAUCUUGACACUCAGGAAAUCCGUCUCACAAUCGGCGAAUUGGAGAGUGCAGAGAUGGAGAUAAUCCGCUUCUGCCAAAAGAAGAGAUUUGGAGAUUAAAUCUCAAAUCUGAAAAAGGAAAUGAAUGUUAAAAGGACAAGCCACAUUCAUAUACUCAACCCCAUUCUGGACAAAGAUGUGUUAAGAGUUGGUGGUCGCCUAAGCAGAGCAGCAAUGCCAGAAGAAAUGAAACAUCCUGUCAUUCUGUCCAAAGACUUUCACAUUGCUGACCUCCUUCUACGACACAUUCAUGGAGAGGUGGGACAUGGUGGUCGCAACCAUAUGCUAUCCAGACUGCGUCAGAAAUAUUGGAUUCCUGGUGCCACAGUAUUGAUCAGGAAAAUCCUGUCUAAAUGUGUUGUCUGUCGGCGUAUAAAUGCUAUUCCUGGACAACAGCAGAUGGCUGAUCUACCCCUGGAUAGAGUCUCUCCAGAUGAACCACCAUUCACAAACGUUGGAGUCGAUUACUUUGGACCCUUUGGAGUAGGGAUGGGCAUAAUUAAUCGAUGCUCGAUAGUUGAUCGUUAAGAAAUGCGUCGAUCAAUUUAUAUUGUUAUCGAUCAAAAGGACGGAGAAAUAACAUAUCUAACCACCAAGGCGCGAUGUUUUAUUAUUUCUAAUGACAAAGACGGAACAGCCAAAUGAGCGGCAGUUGACUUGUGACGCAGCUCAUUUGGAAACUUGCCAGCAAAGCAAGAUUAGCCUAAACAUGAAGCGGUCCAAGCGAAGUGUUGCGUGGGACCACUUCGAUUUAAAAAACGGAGACAUUCACUGUACACACUGUGAUGCCGUGUACAAGUAUAAUUCCGCGAUGACUACUAUGAUGUAUCACUUGAAAAACGCACAUCCGACCUUGUUGGCCGGCAGUUCAUCCUCCUCUCAACCUACCAUCACCUCGGUACUAGCUAGGAGGAGCUGCGACUCACAGCGGGCAGAUAAAAUUACUAAAGGAAUCUGCAAGUUCAUUCAGACAGACAUGCUGCCUAUAAGUGUAGUUGAAGGCAAAGGUUUUGGGAAUCUGAUGGAUAUAAUGGAACCAGCCUAUCACAUUCCAUCACGGCGCACAGUCACCAGACUCAUUGAAACGCAGUAUGAAGAAAGAAAAGAGGAGUUGUUUAAAAAGUUGGCCACAGCUGAGAGUGUUGCUCUCACGACAGACUGCUGGACAGCUUUAACAGCUGAGAGCUAUAUUACCAUCACUUGCCACUACAUCAGCGAUGACUGGGAAAUGAACUCGGCUGUCCUGUUAACAGAAAGCCUUCCAGGCCGUCACACAGCCGACUGUCUCGCGGAGAAAUUGAAUGGGGCUGUGGAGCAGUGGGGAAUUGAAGGCCGAGUAAUCGCCUGCGUACAUGAUAACGCGGCCAAUAUAGUCGCUGCUAACCGUCCAACCAGAGUCAGCUGGGUUUCCGUUGCCUGCUUUGCCCACACCCUCCAGCUGGCCAUAAAUGACGACUUUGCACUUUACCUGAAUCGGGUAAUCUCCGCGGCUGGCAAACUGGUUGGUCACUUUAACCACAGCACAGUUGCCAGCAAAGCGCUGCAAAAAAAACAAGAACAAAUGGCCCUCCCAAGCCACCGGCUUAUUCAAUCAUGUAAAACACGUUGGAACUCGGUCUGUGAAAUGUUCGAUCGGCUGGUGGAGCAACGGUGGGCUGUUGCUUCUGUCCUGUCGGACCGCACCGUGACCAAGCUCCAGGACGCCAGAAUCCUGGAGCUGAAAGAUGAGCAUUGGCAGCUGAUGGAGGAAAUGCAGCCUGUGCUGAGAGCACUAAAGUGUGCCACCACCGUCAUGUCUGCGGAGAAGGACGUCUCCAUCUCCAACACUUAUCCCAUCACCUUCGGACUCAUCAAUGCCCAUCUGAUGCGCAAGGAAGGAGACGGGCCCAAGGUUAUCGAGUUCAAAACUGAAGUGCGGUCUUCCCUCAGCACCCGAAUGAAUGUUCAGUCUGCUGAAUUUGUAUCAUCGGCCCCCAUGCUUUCAGCAAUGCUGGACCCUCGUCACAAGCAUCUGAGCUUUCUGACACCUGCACAGACAGUAGUUGCUAAUGCGAAAUUAGUUGAACUGGGAGAGGCAGUGGAGACAGGCCAGGAGGCUAUCGAGCAGGCUGGGGGGCACGCGGACGAAGGGAGCGCAAACACUGGAGCGGCCGCAGCCGCCACACAGGCAUCCGCUAUGGCACUUCUCCUCGGGGAGCAGUACUCCAUUAUACUGGACACUGGCAUUGACACAGAGGUUAAGAACUUUCUGAAGGAUACCCCCCCACCCCUGGAUUGCAACCCUGCCGACUGGUGGAAAGUGAAUGGGAGAAGGUUCCCCAGGCUGUCAAAGUUAGCGCGACAGUACCUCUGCAUCCCCGCAACUUCGGUCCCGUCAGAGCGGGUGUUUUCUGCUGCUGGACUGACGGUUACAAGGCUGCGUUCGCGUCUGACCCCCGAGCAUGUUAACAUGCUUAUAUUCCUCAACAAAAAUAUGUAGGCUGGAGCACCGUAUGUGAGUCGCUCUUUUUUUUCUUAAUGUGUUCUUGGAGUCGUUACAUUUUGCCAAAACUGAUAUUUUAGCAACAAGUUCAGGCUUAUAUGUUCAAUAAGGUAUUGCUUUUAGAUAGAUGCAAUUGUUUGUAAAUGGGUGGCUCAUCUUUUUGUUGCGAGCCUUUUCCGCGCGCCGGCUGCAGCCUAUAGGCAUUAUAUGUCUGCCUUUUUUCCCCCCUUUUUUUCCUUCAAGUUAACUAUUGUAUUAAUGUUGGCCCAUACAUUAUUGUUGGAAUAAA